RNAcentral lists this ribosomal RNA (119 nucleotides) under Hordeum vulgare subsp. vulgare (domesticated barley). Lineage: Eukaryota; Viridiplantae; Streptophyta; Magnoliopsida; Poales; Poaceae. The record is from RNAcentral.
GGAUGCAAUCAUACCAGCACUAAAGCACCGGAUCCCAUCAGAAUUCCGAAGUUAAGCGUGCUUGGGCGAGAGUAGAACUAGGAUGGGUGACCUCCUGGGAAGUCCUCGUGUUGCAUUCU